This 463-nucleotide ribosomal RNA is filed under the name uncultured bacterium. RNAcentral describes it as "bacterial SSU rRNA". It matches the Rfam family "Bacterial small subunit ribosomal RNA", at positions 28 to 507 of the family's 1533-position model. The record is from RNAcentral.
GACGAACGCUGGCGGCGUGCCUAACACGUGCAAGUCGAACGGACUGUUGUCCUUCGGGACAACAGUUAGUGGCGAACGGGUGAGUAACGCGUGGGCAACCUGCCCUAGAGACUGGGAUAACAUCCCGAAAGGGAUGCUAAUACCGGAUAUGCUCUUAGUGUUGCAUGACACAGAGAGGAAAGAAAUUCGCUCUAGGAUGGGCCCGCGUCCCAUUAGCUAGUUGGUGAGGUAACGGCUCACCAAGGCCACGAUGGGUAGCCGGUCUGAGAGGAUGAACGGCCACACUGGAACUGAGACACGGUCCAGACUCCUACGGGAGGCAGCAGUGGGGAAUCUUCCGCAAUGGACGAAAGUCUGACGGAGCAACGCCGCGUGGGUGAUGAAGGUUUUCGGAUUGUAAAGCCCUGUCUGGAGGGAAGAAAUAUUGACGGUACCUCCGGAGGAAGCCCCGGCUAACUACGUG